AAAUUGAAGAGUUUGAUCAUGGCUCAGAUUGAACGCUGGCGGCAGGCCUAACACAUGCAAGUCGAACGGUAACAGGAAGCAGCUUGCUGCUUCGCUGACGAGUGGCGGACGGGUGAGUAAUGUCUGGGAAACUGCCUGAUGGAGGGGGAUAACUACUGGAAACGGUAGCUAAUACCGCAUAACGUCGCAAGACCAAAGAGGGGGACCUUCGGGCCUCUUGCCAUCGGAUGUGCCCAGAUGGGAUUAGCUUGUUGGUGGGGUAACGGCUCACCAAGGCGACGAUCCCUAGCUGGUC
RNAcentral lists this ribosomal RNA (295 nucleotides) under Escherichia coli. RNAcentral's name for it is "partial 16S ribosomal RNA". It matches the Rfam family "Bacterial small subunit ribosomal RNA", at positions 1 to 292 of the family's 1533-position model. The record is from RNAcentral. RNAcentral also lists the same sequence under 1 other name. Lineage: Bacteria; Pseudomonadati; Pseudomonadota; Gammaproteobacteria; Enterobacterales; Enterobacteriaceae.